Molecule: long non-coding RNA, 7700 nt
Filed under: Capsicum annuum
Lineage: Eukaryota; Viridiplantae; Streptophyta; Magnoliopsida; Solanales; Solanaceae
Description: long non-coding RNA (CANN_LNC003579)
Source: RNAcentral
AAACUUUGUACAGUAUUUUCUUGGCGUCACCUAGACGGCCUUUCAUAAUAAGCCACCUAGGAGACUCAGGCAUUUUAAGAAGGCCAACGGCCAAGAGAAGUGAAGGAAUUGCUGCAAUUCCUAACAUAAUUCUCCAACCAAGAUGAAGGUAUAAUCUUGAGAAAAUGUAGUUAGAUAAAUAACCAAGUAAAAUACCAACACUAAUUUCCAAUUUCUGGUAGAGAUGUUAAAAAUCCACGCGUCUUAGGUGAUGAGAUUUCUGCAGAAUAAACUGGUGCUAUCAUAAGUGCAAAUCCAACACCAACACCAACACCAACACCAGCAACACAUCUUCCACCUAAUAAUGUAAUAUAAUUUGGACCAUAUCCCAUUAAAACUGAACCAAGCAAGAAAAUUAUUGAAGCUAUAAUCAUUGUGUUACGUCUCCCAAUUGCAUCAGAAGUUGCUCCUGCAGAAAGUGCACCAACUAAAGCACAUAAAUUUAGAAUCCCUGCUAAUAUUUCUGUUUUGUGAUCAUUGAUUUGGAAUUCUUUCUUCACAUAUAUAGCAUGGCUCCACUCAUCACACCAGUAUCUAAUAACAAAAUAAAAGCACAAAAUUCUUGUUAGAAUAUGUAUCACACUACUUUUUCUUUUCUUAUCAACUAUAUUAAUAUUAAGUACAUGAAGUAAAAUCUCUAUGUUUUACAAUUGACUUUCUCGAAUUGGUUAAGCUACCCUCGCUCAUUGCGUUUAAAAAUAUCUUAGCAUCAUUGAUAUAUGCAUGCACAGGCAGCUCGUCCAUUAGACCACUUAAUUCUGGAAUGCCCAUAUUUAUAUUAGUGAAAUCUUUUGUUUGUAUAAAAAGGCAUAUUUUUAGGGAGCAAAUUUUACAUGAAAUCUUCCUUGGGAAAUAUUGACUGAAUUACUAUUAAUAUUUUUGCGUCUCAAAAGUUACAAAAAUAAAUUUUAUAUAUAUAUAUAUACACACAAUUCAAAUUAAGGGCUCUGUUAGAUUUGGCUUUAGAUCCCUAAUAUGAUUGAGUCACCCCAUAUGCAUGUGUGGUGCCGUGGUGGGAUGAUUCCAAAUUGUACAGUCGAAAAUCAUAACUAGUUCAAUAAUUCUCUGAUCAUGUGAAUGAAUAACUUUUGCAUGGUAAGAAAUAUUUUAUCUAGAUAAUUAUGUUAUCAUAUAUCUAAAUGUGAAUUUGGAUGAUAAGACAUAUUUUGUGACAUAUCUAAUAUAUAUGAAUUUGAUUAAUUAAUUUGACCAGUAAAUUUCGAAACCUGAUGGCUAAACAAAAAGAAGAAGAAGAAGAGGAUUUAAAAUAUUGAAGAAGUCUAACCAAAAAAAAAAAAAAAAAGAUAUUGAAGAAGGGAACUUACCAUAGCCAAAGAUGAUAGAUAUCAUGGAACCAACAAUUGCACAAGCACAUGCAUAUCCAUUAACCUUUGUAGGAUUCUCAACACUAUCAUCCUUCUCCAUAUUUUCUUCCUUUGUAGGAUACUCAACAAUAUCCUUCUCCAUAUUUUCCCGAUGCAAUAUAGCCUAAAUUAGAUAUCUUUUUUUUUUUAUAAGUAAACUACUACUAUAAAACUAAGAUAUGUAUAGAUAGCAAAGGGAACCUACUGAUUCCCUCUUUAUUUGUGUUUUACAUAAAUAAAAUAAAAUAAAAUAAAAUACAGCGUAAUAAUGUUGGGUUUGAAUUUAUAAAGAAUAAAUACUACAUGUGGAUCGUAUUAAUAAGAAUUACAAGUCACACAUCAUGAGUCCUGAUUAUAAGACUGACCUAUGGUCUUCCGCAUCUAACGUCGGGUUUAUAUGGAUAGCAUUGAUAUUAAUUUGGGGGUAUUCAGGCCAAUUUGCAUGUGUGUAUUAGCAACGGAACCUAUUUAAGGUUAAUAAUGGGUUCAACAUUUAAAUUCUUAUAGCUGAUAGAAAUUAUUUGUUCAAACUUUAAUAUUAUUUGUUGAAAUUUUGUUGAUUACUCUUAUCCGCUACCUCUGCAGAUAAAAUGUUGCUCACUGUUGAGUAUGGCUUAUUAAACGUCAGCUAGAUCAUAUGAUUUGUAGAAAGAUAAGUCGCAUCUACAUUAUUGUUACAAUAGAUCGAUCACUUGUGAGCCAAAGAGAGAACGAGAUUAUGGACCCAACACAAUUCAACACUAGUAGAAACAAACGAUAGACCUAUACUCAAACUUUGGUGGAGGAAUAAGCUACAAUUCGCUUCUUCUUAGCCAAGGAAGACAAUGUAAGCACUAGUACAAUCAAUAUCAAAAUUGGAUUGAUGCAAAAUCAAGGGGGAAUUGUUAGAAAAAUAAAGCACUUUUUAUCCAUUAUUCCAUUAGAUAACGAACCACCCAUUUAAGAGCAAUUCAAUGCAUGUGAAAUUUGAGCUAGCCAUAAAAAAUGCAAUAUCAAGUCGUAUUAAUUCCAACUACUUAAAACGUCCAACCAAAAUUUGAUGGUAUUGUGAAUCACUCAAAUUUAAAUGAACAUUAUUACCUUCGAAGGCCAAAUUAUUGGCAGUUGCAUGUGGACUAGAAGAAGGUUUUGAGCCGCACAUUGAGGCACGCUUAAACAUAAAACAAUGUACUUAUGUUGGAAUAGAUAUAAGCUUUGAUACUGUGAAUUACUUCCAAGUCCGAAAAACCAAUUAGUUUGUCUCAAGUCUUGAUUGAAAGCUGCUUAUCAAGCUUAAGACCAUCUCCAAUUUUACACUAAAUAUUACAUCAAAUCUUAUUGUGGUGUUAUAUUUCGUAUUGGUGCUCCAGUUAAAUACGUUUUUUUACAUUAUUUUGAUGUAUGAAGAGUGUCACGCUAAAUUUGAUGUAACACUAUCCAUCACCACUGUUACUAUUCAUCAAUAUUUUAUUAUAUAAAACUUUUAAUCUGACAUUUUAUAAAUUUAUUUUUUUCAUUUAGUGUAACGCGCCGAAAACGAGUCCCAAGACCUCACACGUGCUUAGAGCCACAAGUGAUCCCAAGCUAACCCUUCUACUGGCAUAACUCAAAAGCAACUGAAAUAGAUGCAUAAAACUAUACAAAAUCAACGGAAGACAACUCUUUCUGAAUCUGAUCAAUACAAAUUGAGUUCACAUGAUUACAACUCUGCUUUUACAAACAAACUGAAAUAAAAUACACUGACUCUACUGACUGUCUAUGAAACCUCUACUAGUAUGGACUAUAGAUAGUAGGGUCAUGACUCCAAACUAUCCUAACUCAAUAUGACUGAAUGAAGAAAAUAUAAUACUACACAAACUCUGACUGACUUGAGCCCUUGAAUAAAAAGGGCUCGUCCUCUGCUGGCGGGAAGCUGCAACCUGUCUGAUUAUGAUAUGUGAGCUAUGACUUGUAUCUACAUUAUAAGACAAUGUAGCACAUAGACAUAUAUGUGGAUCAACACUUUGAGGAUGUCGUGAGUAUAUGGAGGUGUAUUCAUUUAAAUGAACAAUAUCGUUACUCUUUACAUAAAUCAUGCAUGCAAAUAUGAAUGACUCACAUGGCUUGAAUAAAUCUGAAAUGUAAAUCUCAUAAAUCAUGAAUGGUGAAACAUGUAAUAUAAAUCUCGUGAGUCAUCAUACUUAACUCAAAAAUCUGUAUUCUCCUCUUAUUCUCAAAACUUAUAAGCGAAAGUAAUCUUUAAACAAUACUUUCAAAAAUCAUGCUUUUAUCUUCAGGUGAGAAGAACUUUAAAUCUUAAGGAACUUUAAGACCGUAACACUUUUAGAGACUUUGGGACGUACUACUUUGGAGAUCUUAAAAUAUUAACUUUCAAAACAUAUAUAUACUUUAUCUUAAAGAGAGUAGGGAACUUCUUUUGGGAGUUUCUUCUAACCGACAUAAACCAUGUAAGCUGACAUGGAGUCCAACGUCUUACCCACGUUGGGAAGAGUUGUUCUAACCUUGCCAUCGGAAUAGAACCUUAGCUUUAGUGAACACUAUCUUAACCCACUUGGGGCAAAUCAGAAACCUACGGUGGCUCGUAGUUCUGGGGCAUGAGACCUUGGAAUCAAGCCCAACUCGGUGCUAAAUACUACUCCCAUACUUGCUCAGAACUUUUAGGAAAUCCACCUUAAAACAAUACAAGGGUCUAAAAUGAAGACCAAUUAUACUUCUUCUUGCUUUAAAUCAUAAAUGAUGAAUAAUGUGGAUUCCUAUCUUAGCUUGUUUCAAAGGAUCAACUUUCUUUAUCAAAAUCUGAAAAUAGCUAUUCAUGGGAUACUUAAAUCCUGAUCAUUCUUGAAAUAUCAAGACUAACUCUUUGGGCUUUGAGCCCAUGCUUCAAAUUCAUAUCAAACACCAUAAAGUUCAUGCUUUAUAACACAGUUUUUCAUAAUUCAACUUAAAAUCUGGAAAAUAUAAUUAUGUACAUAAAUAUUCGAAAGUAGACAUGUAACUCAAUAUCCAAAUCACUUUAAAUCUCAAAAUCAUGCAAUUAGCAAUAUGGGGUAUAAACCCUAACUUAAAUUUCACGGAAAUCAUAUCAAAAUUCAGAAAUUUAUAACUUAAAGUAAGCUUUUGGGCACAAGAAUGAAAGAGUUGUUCUUGUUCAAACCCCACAUACCUUUAAUGAUAAACUUGGAUGAACAACUUGCUUAUGAGAUGAUAUUUGUACUCUUGAAUGAGGCUUCUUGGAGUUCUUAAACUAAGAACUUGGAAUCUUGACCCAACUUGGAGAAUUAAUGAUGAACUUUAGGAGAUUCUUGAAUUUGGGUGAUGAAACUUAGGGUUUCUAGAUGAGAGAAUUUGAUGAAAAAGGGGGUGUAAUUUGCUCAAUAUCACCCUUAAUCCUCUGUUUUUACGACCUGGGUUGAGGGGGGAAAAGAUCCCAUUGCCCCUCAUUAAUUUGAAGUAGAAAUUCGUAACCCGCAUCUCGAUUUUGCCCUUCAGCGCGACGCACUACCAUCGCGGCAGCUUACUGCCUCACACUAAAAUGGCUAUAACUUUUCGCUCGGGUAUCGGACUUUUGAGAAAUUGGUAUCGUUGGAAAGCUAAUUCAAUUAUCUACAAUUUGGUGGGUCUUGGGAUGAAAAUUCCACAUAUAUAAAAGGUUAUACACGUUUAAAGUAGACCCUUGUAGAAUUGAAAUGCCAAAUUUUGGACGAAUCUAAUGUUCUUAGCUCCACUUGGCUCUAAGUGACUUCUAUGAACAUUAUUCACCGAAUAAGGACUUCACAUACUUAGGAUUAAAGUCAUGACACAAGAAUUCGAAUUAUGGAUCAAGAGUACGACAAUUACACCUUCACCGCGAUGCAUUGAAAUCGCGUUAAGCUACUGAAAAGGACGAGUGCGAAUUUGCACUCUGGUGCGACGCAGUGCUAUCGCGUUGUGCCACUGGAAAUUGACAAUUGGGAAUUUGGACCUUUCCGCGAUGCACCAAUAUCACGGAGGUCCACUGGAAUGUGACAAUUGUCAUUUUGGCAUCCACCGCGACGCGGUGCGUGCCCAGGUGAGACACUGCAUUACUAAAAAUAUUCUAAAUUCUUCACCGAGUGUCGGAAUUGAGCGAAUUUGGUAUUGAUGGAAAGCCUAUUCAAUUUUCCACACAAUGGAAGGUCUAAAUCUGAAAAAUUCCGCAUGAAAUAAAGAUUAUUCAUUUUUUAAGCACACUCUUAACAUUCUAGGAACAAAUUUUAAGUUAGGAAAAACACGAGGUGUUACAUUUAGGUCCCUAAAAUACCUAAUUAUUUUUUACCUAAUAUCCUUAUAAUAUUAAUUUUACAUUUUAAUUUUGGACUAGGUGAUCAAAAUAGCUACUCCGUAAAGUCCAAAUACUUUAAUUGCAUUAAAAAAAAAAAAGUUUUGCACGUGGUGCUGUGAUGGUGACAGAUAAGAUAACUGUAUAACCAUAAAAUUAACCCUUCGUUUAAAUCUGAGGGGCUUUCGAUUGGUUGGGACUAAGGCAUUCCAUCAUUAUAAUGUAGAUAGUGUGAUAAAUAAUUUCAUAAUUAUUUAAUACACUUAAUCAAACACGGCAUAGAAUAAUAUAUACAUUUUAUCACAAAGUUAUUAUACCUUAAACCAUCCUACCAAAUGAGUGAUAAAUUAAUAGUACAAGUGUACAUAUACUAUCAAGAAAGUAUAAACAAUUCUUGUUGGAUCAUCUUCAAGACCCUCAAGAAUCUCCCACCUACCUACCAAAUUACCAAGCUACUGACAUUGUACAUUAUAGGAGAAAGAAAUGGAUGAAGAGAAAUGGUGUUUGGUGACUGGUGGAAGAGGUUUUGCUGCUAGGCAUUUGGUGCUAAUGCUGAUUCGCUAUGAAAUAUGUCAUGUUCGCAUUGCUGAUUUGGGUCCUACUAUUAAACUUGAGCCUCAUGAGGAAGAGGGUACUCUUGGACAAGCUCUCAAAUCGGGUCGUGCUGCAUAUGUAUCCAUGGAUCUUACUAACAAGUCCCAAGUCCUCGAAGGUCUUCUCUUGAAUCUUUACCUGCUUUUGACACCCAAGAAUCAAAACUUCAUGAUUCUUGAAUAUGGGUGUUUUGGUUUUAUUAGCAAGGUUCCAACUGUUUUUAGCGAGUGUAGAAUCAUUUUUUUUGCUAGUGGUGUUCGGGUCAGCUUUUGAGUACCUCAACUAACAGAUAACUCUGUAGAAUCAAUUGCAUAUAUAUGCACCGGGCUGCCUUUUAUAUCAAAUAUACACAGAUAUAAAAUGCAAAAACCUGCCCUGGAUGUUUAUUUGUUAGAAUUGUCCGACAGUUUGCCUCUGGUGAAAACAGAUUCCAUUUCUUCCAAAGACUUCCCUUUAGUCUCAGGGCAAAAGAAGUAGAAGAAUAUCAAAGCCAACAAAGAUACUCCAGCAAACAAGAAAAAAGAGCCUCCAGUUGUAAUUGCAUUAGACAAGGACAGAAAACUCAUAGAAACAGUAGCAUUCAUCAACCUAUUUACUGCAACACCAAUUCCAGCACCCAAUGCCCUAUACUUUAGAGGGAAUAUCUCAGUACUAUAAACCCAAGUAACAGGUCCAAGACCAAUGUUGAAAAACAUCACAACUGCAUAAGUUGUAACUAUACUUAGUACCAAAGCCCAAAUACAUUUCCCACCAGAAUGCUCAGCCAAUGUCAAGAAAAACCCAAGGCCAGCUAAUGUCACUACCAUGCCACUUAAACUUAUUAACAAUAACUUCCUUCUCCCAACUCUGUCAAUCAAGAAAGUGGAUAGUACUAUAAAUGUAAAUUUCGUCAAUCCAACUCCAACUGUGGCUAGUAUUUGCUUCCUUGUGUCAUGUACUCCUGCCUUGGCAAAAAUCUUGUGACUAUACAAUAUCACAGCUUCAAUUCCAGUUGCAUGUUCAAAGAAAUGAAUUCCCACACCAGCUAUUAAAAUCCAUCUUAGUUAUGGGGUUGGUCUUAACAACAAUUCUUUCCAAACACCUUCUGUUUUUGUCGAUUCAGGAAGUUUGACAAUGUCAUCAUUACAAUUUUCAUUGAUUCCUACAGAUUGUUUAAUAUCCCUGAGUCGAAUUUCAGCUUGUUCAGGUGUAUUAGAAACUUUGUACAGUAUUUUCUUGGCGUCACCUAGACGGCCUUUCAUAAUAAGCCACCUAGGAGACUCAGGCAUUUUAAGAAGGCCAACGGCCAAGAGAAGUGAAGGAAUUGCUGCAAUUCCUAACAUAAUUCUCCAACCAAGAUGAAGGUAUAAUCUUGAGAAAAUGUAGUUAGAUAAAUAACCAAGUAAAAUACCAACGCUAAUUUCCAAUUUCUGGUAGAGAUGUUAAAA